Molecule: non-coding RNA, 31 nt
Filed under: Rattus norvegicus (Norway rat)
Lineage: Eukaryota; Metazoa; Chordata; Mammalia; Rodentia; Muridae
Source: RNAcentral
UGAGUCAUUUCUCAUGUUUUACGAUAACUGC